UUAGUGUUAUGGUUAGUGUUAAGGUUAGUGUUAGGUUUAGGGAACGGGUGUGGUUUAGGUUACUGUUUAGGGUACAACAAGAGGUUAGGGUUAAGGUACGUGUUAGGGAAUGGGUUAGUGUUAGUGUAUGGGUUAGGGUUAGGUUAUGGGUUAGGGUAAGGUUUAGGGUGAGGUUUAGCGUUAGUGUUAAGGAACAGGUACGUUUUAGGGUGCAGGUUAUUGUAUGACAACAGUUUAGGCUUAGGGUACGUGGUAGUGUAUGGGUUAGUGGUAGUGUACGAGUUAGAAUUAGGGUACGGAUUAGGCUAAGGAAUAGGGUUAGGGUUAGGGAAUGGAUAUGGUUUUGGAUACAGUUUAGGGUACAACAAUGGGUUAGGGUUAGGGUACGUGUUAGGGUACGGGUUUGUGUUUGUGUACAGGUAAGGAUUAGGGUACGGUUUAGGGUAAGGCUUAGGGAAUGGGUAUGAUUUAGGGUACAGUUAAGGAUACAACAAUGGUUUAGGGUUAGGGUACAUGUUACGGUACGGGUUAGUGUUAGUGUAUGGGUUAGGAUUAGGGUACGGGUUAGGGUAAAGUUACGGUUAGGGAAUGGGUAGGGUUUAGGGUACAGGUUAUGGUAGGACAACGGUUUAGGGUUAGGGUACGUGUUAGGUUAUGAGUUAGUGUUAGUGUUAGGGU
Molecule: long non-coding RNA, 678 nt
Organism: Aethalodelphis obliquidens (Pacific white-sided dolphin)
Lineage: Eukaryota; Metazoa; Chordata; Mammalia; Artiodactyla; Delphinidae
Exons: 4
Source: RefSeq, a predicted model, not a curated record